GUAUCCUUUCUUACCCAGUGGAUAUCCCAGGAAAACACAAGGAUCAGCUCUUGGAUGAAAUUUGUCUCUAUGCUGUUUGGGUACAGAAGCAAAGCAAAGACAACCAAAAGUCUUAAGAUGGUUAUAAGAAGGACUCUGUCCAAAAAGGAACUCAUAAAGAGAUGCAUUGUUAAGUAGUUUGGAAGAAAAUCUAUUGAUGAGAUAGGUGGCAGUAAGGACACAAUCUCCCCAUAAUUUAAGAGGAAGUUGGGACUGAAAAAGUAAUGAUCUGGAUGUUUCCAGAAGAUGUCUAUGUUUUCUCUCAACUACACCAUUUUUUUGUGGUGUAUGAGAGCAAGAUGUUUGGUGAAGGAUACCUUCUCAGCAAAGAAAUUGAUUCCAGCAUUACUAGUUCCAAGUUCAAGAGCAUUAUCACUCCUGAUGGUUUGGACAACAGUCUGAAAAUGAGUUUUGAUCAUGGAAAUGAAUGCCAUGAUAAUGGGAAAGGCAUUGCUUUUGGACUCCAUAAGGUGAGUCCAAGUAGCUCUUGUAAAAUCAACAACUAUUGUUAAAAAAUAUUUGCACCCAUUAUGGGUGGCAGUGGCAUAAGGACCCCAGGUAUCUAUAUGGAUGAGCUGAAAAGGAUGUGUUGUUUUUAUAGAACUUUCAGGAAAGGGCAAUCUAGACUGUCUUGCUAAUGGGCAAACAGUACAUAUAAAAGGCUGUUUAUUUGCAAAUUUACAUGGAAUAGAGGAAAUGUCUUUCAUUCUAACAAAAGGAAUGUGCCCUAGUCUGCUAUGCCAUAAUAUCUCCAUUUUAUUCAAUUCAGUAAUUUCAUUCUAACAAAAGGAAUGUACCCUAGUCUGUUAUGCCAUAAUAUCCCCAUUUUAUUCAAUUCAAAAUGGUAUGUACAAUGAGAGGAAGAAACAGAAGCAACAGCUAAUGGAGAAUGGUAAAUACAAGGAGUAUAGGAUUGAGAAGGAGUAGAAAGGGAAGAUUGCACAAGCCUGUAAAGACCAUCGUCCAGCUUACCAAUUU
This 1017-nucleotide long non-coding RNA is filed under the name Nicotiana benthamiana. RNAcentral's name for it is "long non-coding RNA (NBEN_LNC028984)". The record is from RNAcentral. Lineage: Eukaryota; Viridiplantae; Streptophyta; Magnoliopsida; Solanales; Solanaceae.